RNAcentral lists this unclassified non-coding RNA (332 nucleotides) under soil metagenome. Its description in RNAcentral is "partial contains 5.8S ribosomal RNA, internal transcribed spacer 2, and large subunit ribosomal RNA". The stretch from base 1 to 120 matches the Rfam family "5.8S ribosomal RNA", at positions 35 to 154 of the family's 154-position model. The record is from RNAcentral.
GAUGAAGAACGUAGCGAAAUGCGAUAAGUAGUGUGAAUUGCAGAAUUCAGUGAAUCAUCGAAUCUUUGAACGCACAUUGCGCCCUUUGGUAUUCCUUAGGGCAUGCCUGUUCGAGCGUCAUUUAAACCUUCAAGCUCAGCUUGGUGUUGGGUGACUGUCCGCUUCACCGCGGACUCGCCUCAAAAUUAUUGGCGGCCGGUACAUUGGCUUCGAGCGCAGCAGAAACGCGAACUCGGGCCCGUCGUAUUGGCUCCCAGAAGCUAUCUUCACAAUUUUGACCUCGGUUCAGGUAGGGAUACCCGCUGAACUUAAGCAUAUCAAUAAGCGGAGGA